GUGCUCACUUCGGCAGCACAUGUACUAAAAUUGGAAUAAGAGAAGAUCAUCUUGGCCCCUGCCCAACGAUGACAUGCAGAUUUGUGAAGCUUUCUAAACUUUU
This is a small nuclear RNA of Nannospalax galili (Upper Galilee mountains blind mole rat), 103 nucleotides long. Lineage: Eukaryota; Metazoa; Chordata; Mammalia; Rodentia; Spalacidae. The record is from Ensembl.